CAUAUUAUCGCCCCGACGAGGUAUGCCUACAUAGAUAUCGCUGCAAUCACAAACCGGUUCAGAGACAAGCUGGGCCAUGGAGGUUUUGGCGCCAUGUUUAAGGGUGUACUGGCUUAUGAUGUUCAUGUGGCCGUCAAGAUGUUGAACUCUUGCUCCAGCUGCAAUGGAGAUGACUUCAUCAGUGAGGUUUCCACCAUCAGCACGAUCCACCACGUCAAUGUGGUGCAUCUAGUUGGGUUCUGCUAAGAGGAAAUUGGAAGAGCGUCGGUUUACGAGUACAUGCCAUGAGGUUCCCUCGACAAGUACAUCUUCUCGGCCGAGAAGACUUUCUCUUGGGACAAGCUCGAUGAGAUCGCUUUGGGCAUUUCCAGGGGUAUCAACUACCUGCAUCAGGGCUGUGACAUGCAGAUUCUCCACUUUGACGUCAAGCUGCACAACAUCAUGCUCGACAAUAAUUUCAUCCCCAAUGUUGCUGAUUUCGGCCUUGCUAAACUGUACCCAAGGGACAACAACUUUGUGCCCUCCAACGCCUUACCGAGACAGUUGGGUACAUAG
RNAcentral lists this ribosomal RNA (555 nucleotides) under Triticum aestivum (bread wheat). RNAcentral's name for it is "partial small subunit ribosomal RNA". The record is from RNAcentral. Lineage: Eukaryota; Viridiplantae; Streptophyta; Magnoliopsida; Poales; Poaceae.